This is a non-coding RNA of Heterocephalus glaber (naked mole-rat), 4387 nucleotides long. NCBI's taxonomy places the organism in Eukaryota, Metazoa, Chordata, Mammalia, Rodentia, Bathyergidae. The record is from RefSeq and is a predicted model, not a curated record.
CUCCUUUCCUGCCUGUUCCCUCUGCAGUUUUUCUGCAGCUGAGCAGAGCUGCAGACAGCUGUGAUGGACCCCAGCCUAAGAGCUCCCUAUCUCUGCUGGGCCUCGUGGCUCCUAGGAGUCCUCAGUUUCCUCAGUGUCUGGAGUUAUUCUGCACAGGGCUCUGGAGAUCAUGGCACUGGGAUUCAAGAUUCUGAGGCCCCAUUCUUGUGAAGGGGAUCUGCGGAGGCUCUGUCUGGCUCCAUGUGACCCAGUGGCCAGGAAAAGAUCUAGGAGCCAUGGUGGAGGACAUCACCUGGGUCUUUUUCUCUGGGACCGAGCACACAUGGAUGCUGACAAUCUACAAUGGGACCUUGUUGAUGCUACAGGACAAGUACAAAGGAAGGGUCCAAAUGCCCAGUGUGACAUCCCUGGAGAUUAGGAACCUGAGCCCACAGAACAGUGGGCAGUACACGGCACAGUGUUGGUUAGUGACAGGAGAAGACCUUCACCAAGUUUUCGACCUCAAGGUCUGUGGCUCCAGAGGAAAACAGUCCACUCCAUCCCCUGUCCACUGCUUUAUGGUGAUCAGCGUUCCUCGGCUUGGUCCCCUUCCUCUACCUACACCAGCGUGGCUGGGUUGAGUCCUCCUCACACUGCGUCCUUCAGAGACGCUCGUUUCUGUCCCUCUUCCACUUGUAAGGACCCUAGUGCUGAGGCUGGGCCCACCUAGACAAUCUGCAGCGAUCACUUAUCUCAAGGUCAGCUCUCUACCGUGUCACCUACCGUACUCCCUGGUUCUGAGGACCAGGAUGUGGGUGGGAGGGGCCAGUCCAGUUUCCCACCACAUUAGGAACGCGUGUGUACCUGGUCCUCCCGUCCUCGCUCCUCCCGUGCAGCACAAGCCUGAGGCUCGCUCUCACUGGACUCCACACUCCAGCUCUCCAAGCCGUGAGAGCUGUGGGAGAAGGUUUACGCUGACUCCUGCGCUCCUUAGGAAAUCCACUUCUCCAGCUUCGUUUCCUGGGCGUCUGUGUACAGGGCAGCGCCUGUUAGCAAGAGCGGCCUCCACAGUCUGAAGUCCCAUGUGUCUCCCAGGGCUGCUAGUGAAUCUGACUCUUGUCUUCCUGCCUGGACCACAGGUUCAGGGCGCGAUCUAACUGUACUCGGAGCUGUGACCCAGGCCACGACCCCUGCUUCUCACAGAUGUCUCCGCCUUUGAGAGAUGGAGCUCUGCUGUGUCUUCGCAGAGACCAGGACAAGCGCUUCUGUGCCAGAUCUUUUCCCCUUCCAGAAAAGACCCCAAUUUGUGGAACAUAAUGGUUCCUGGAAGGGGGGGUCUAACCAUCCUUUUCUCAUGGGAAAAUUUUAAAAUUUGCUUAAUAUAGGGAGAUCACUUAAGGCUUAAGUCAGUGGCUACUGUCUCUUGCUCAACAGUUAGCUUGAGGCAAACGUGUUUUAUUUGUCAAGUGCUCCUUCCUUCCUCAUUGGGCACUUGCAUAGGCUGCAGUGAGACAAUUGGAGAGAAUGUGUGACAUGUGAGGCUCUUCUUUGUCCUCACUUUCCCAGAGCCAGUGUCCCCUCCGCAGAUCCUGGCCAAGUCGCUGUCUGUCACAGCAGGCUGGUGCAAUGCCACCCUAGAGUGCAGACCCACAGGGGCGACAGAGAACCUGAAUGUGACCUGGGAGAGCAAGGGCCUCCCCAGAGAGCUGGAGCAGAGAGGGACACCAGUACCAGCCCCCACCCCCUGGACCCAGGCUGCGAGCUUGCCCCUGAGCCAGGCCAAUGGCAGCCUCACCUGUUUGGUCAGCAACCCCGCGGAUCAGAACAGAGCCACCUCAGACCUCAGUGACAUCUGUCCACGAGGUGAGUCCUUCCUGUUGGAGGGGAGGGCUUCCUGAAGCUCAGGGAGCACUGCAGUGUGGGGUUCCAGGCUUUCUUCCCUGCUGGGUUCAUUUGCACCCCCACCUGCACAUGAUCACCCUGUGAAGUCUGGAGUCCAACUCACAUCCAACUCACAUCUGCCUGUAAAUGUCCCUCACAUUCCUGCCCUUCCCCGCUGCUGCAGGCAGCAGUGACUCUCCCUCCCUGUCUGUCACACACUGUGGGCACAGAGUGGGCUCUGGAAAAGUGGACGUAUGCCCGGCUCAUCUCCAGAUCUGACCUCCAUUUUCUCCCUGUAGGACGCAGGGCUCACAACUUGUCUGCCCAUGCUGUGCACUCACGGGCACACGGCACACAGAGCUGCUGCUGUACCCUCUGACUGCGCUGCCCCUGAGAGCCUUUAAAGCAUCACCUCUUCUCAGCCAGUAUUGGUCAGUUGUGUACUUGAAUCCUCCACAAACUGCAGUGCCUUUAGGGCAGGGACACAGUUUGGUUCUCUCUUUGAUCCUUUGGCCAAGUACAGUAGGUGUUUACAGUUUACAGUAGGUGUUUUAUUGACUAAAUGGAUGAUCUGGGAGCUGUGUGCAGUCUUCUCCUCUUUGCCCUUCCUCCAGUAAUGGUGCAGGCAUCCCUCAUGGCAGUGUCAGUUAUAAUCCCCUGUUACAUCCUCCACCCGCCUCCCAUCUAGGAGUGUCAGGUAAAGUUCCAGUCAGCAUGACGCCUCUCCAUCUGGCUUCAGGUUUUACCUCCCUGUGAUCCUGGUCACCUACAGCUCCUCCCUACCUGUCCCUCCCCUGCAGGACUUCUCACUUCCCCCUGAUAUCGGUGAACCUCCCACUCUUCCCUAUAACCUUCUUCAGGAAGUUUACCCUAUAACCUUCUUAAACCUCGGUUGCAGUGAGGUCCCUCUUUCUGGCCGCUGGUAUUUUCUGCCUUCCCUCAUAGCUCCCGAAUUUCUCAAGGGCACCAACCCUACCUUGUUCAUUUCAGCGUCCCAGCACCAUGCAGGAGCUGGGGAACUGGUUGAAUGAUGACUCUGCAUGGUCCUUCCUUUCCGUCCCUGAAUCAGGACUUCUGACUUUGCCUUUCUACUCUCUCACCCUUCCAGUGGGUAUCUUGACUUCUCUCCUGCCUUAACCAUUUUUCACUCUCUCAGUGUGUGGGAAACAGGUAGAUCUGGACAGUCCACCGCUGGCCUCACGGGAGGCUUACUAGGGGGCUUCAUGACUGUGAUUUUGCUUCUUGGAGCUAGACUGUAUCUUUGGAAGCUUCAUGAGAAGAGGAAGAAGAUGGUGCUGGAACAAUGCAGGUUGGAUUUCCCUUCUGGGCUCCGAGAUCUCCCCUCUCUCCCAUUGGCCCCGGGCUCCCUUUGGCCUGCACUUUUUGCUGCCAGGAAGUGGGUCCUGCAGAGGGGAUAGUGGCUGUAACCAUGAUGACCUCAGGUUCAUGGUGGGGGGGAGCAUUACUGGUUUCCCUGGCACAAAAUCAAUCUCCAUUCUGUCAAUGACUCUGGUGCAGGAUUGCAGCAGGACCAACAGGUCUGCACUGAUGAGCUCUUACAGGCAGAUUAUAAUAUGGAAACCUCAUGAAGAAAAUGACAAGGUGAGAGCUGGGAGUGGUGGCCAGCCUGACUACUCACAGGUCACCCACUGCCCAGCUCUGGGCUUCCUAAACUCAGACCCCUGCUAUUUUUGUCCCCACUGUUCUUACCUUUUUGUAAUAUCUACAGCAUGAACUAAGCACAUUUAUAAUUGACUAGUGUAGUGCUGGGUGCUUUGGGAGAAUUCAUAAACAUUCAUGUGAAUGGACAUUGAUGGUAUGCAGAGGUCCCUCUGGGGCCACCGUAUCUAUCCCCAGCUUCUCCAGAACCCUCUGUCUUGUAUUCCCAGCGUAUUGGUGAACAACAUCCAGAAGCAAGGGGGCCACUUACUAGUGUCUACAGUAAGCUUGUUCUCCAUGCCUGCCUACAAAGAUGAUUUAAUUGGAGGAAAUAGGAGAAUGAAACACUCCUCGGACACCCCACCCUCUGAGUCUGACACCUGGGGUCGCCUACUUCCUCUGGCUUUGGUUCAGCUCCAGGUGCCCUUGAUCUUAUUAGCCUGACCCAGUGGACAUUCCUCCCUGAGCACAGCUGCUCCUGUGACUUCUCCAACAGCGCCCCACUGUUCCUGCACACUCAGGAUCCACACGCCUGCAAGCCAAGGUUCUUCUGCAGUCACUGACAUAGCCCGAGCACUCCUCUCCAGAGGCACUCCCAGGAGAACCUGCCUGAUGGACUCUGCAAGUCCUCAUUGCUUUGUCACAAGUCUGUCGUUGAGAACAGGGGCCAGAAACAGGAACUACAAAGGGAUGUUGAUUGCACCCUGGAGGAGUUAGGAUGGGGUCUGGAUUGCAUGGUGCUGGAACACCAACAUUGGUGGGAGCCCCAGCUUCCUCUUUCCUCUUGCAGGCUUUUUUUUCAUCAAUUUUAUUGGUACAUUUUAGAUAUACAAUAUGCUGACAUUCAUUAUUAGGAAUUUGUACCUUU